GUGCCAGCAGCCGCGGUAAUUCCAGUCUGCCAAUAGCGUAUAUUAAAGUUGUUGCAGUUAAAAAGCUCGUAGUUGAAACUUGGGCCUGGCUGGCAGGUCCGCCUCACCGCGUGUACUUGUCCGGCCGGGCCUUUCCUUCUGGAGAACCUCAUGCCCUUCACUGGGUGUGUUGGGGAACCAGGACUUUUACUUUGAAAAAAUUAGAGUGUUCAAAGCAGGCCUUUGCUCGAAUACGUUAGCAUGGAAUAAUAGAAUAGGACGUGCGGUCCUAUUUUGUUGGUUUCUAGGACCGCCGUAAUGAUUAAUAGGGACAGUCGGGGGCAUCAGUAUUCAAUUGUCAGAGGUGAAAUUCUUGGAUUUAUUGAAGACUAACUACUGCGAAAGCAUUUGCCAAGGAUGUUUUCAUUAAUCAGUGAACGAAAGUUAGGGGGAUCGAAGACGAUCAGAUACCGUCGUAGUCUUAACCGUAAACUAUGCCGACUAGGGAUCGGGCGAUGUUCUUUUUCUGACUCGCUCGGCACCUUACGAGAAAUCAAAGUUUUUGGGUUCUGGGGGGGAGUAUGGUCGCAAGGCUGAGACUUAAAGAAAUUGACGGAAGGGCACCACCAGGCGUGGAGCCUGCGCUUUAAUUUUGACUCAACACGGGGAAACUCACCAGGUCCAGAUGAAAUAAGGAUUGACAGAUUGAGAGCUCUUUCUUGAUUUUUCAGGUGGUGGUUGCAUGGGCGUUCUUAGUUGGUGGAGUGAUUUGUCUGCUUAAUUGCGAUAACGAACGAGACCUUAACCUGCUAAAUAGGCAAGGCUAGCUUUGGCUGGGUCGCCGGCUUCUUAGAGGAACUAUCG
Molecule: ribosomal RNA, 843 nt
Filed under: uncultured fungus
Lineage: Eukaryota; Fungi
Description: SSU rRNA
Rfam family: Eukaryotic small subunit ribosomal RNA
Source: RNAcentral